RNAcentral lists this ribosomal RNA (255 nucleotides) under uncultured bacterium. Its description in RNAcentral is "partial 16S ribosomal RNA". It matches the Rfam family "Bacterial small subunit ribosomal RNA", at positions 524 to 776 of the family's 1533-position model. The record is from RNAcentral.
UACGUAGGGUGCGAGCGUUGUCCGGAAUUAUUGGGCGUAAAGGGCUCGUAGGCGGUUUGUCGCGUCGGGGAGUGAAAGCCCCCCGGCUCAACUGGGGAGGGUCAUUCGAUACUGAUCGACUCGAAGGCAGGAGAGGGAAGCGGAAUUCCCGGUGUAGUGGUGAAAUGCGUAGAUAUCGGGAGGAACACCAGUGGCGAAGGCGGCUUCCUGGCCUGUUCUUGACGCUGAGGCGCGAAAGCUAGGGGAGCAAACGGG